RNAcentral lists this long non-coding RNA (344 nucleotides) under Homo sapiens (human). RNAcentral's name for it is "HSALNT0199002". The record is from RNAcentral. Lineage: Eukaryota; Metazoa; Chordata; Mammalia; Primates; Hominidae.
UUUCCAACUUGAUAAACUCAUAAUUUCCCACCCUACCACCCAAUUUCCACUAGCUGUUAACUCCAAGCGGGUAAUGAGGAAAAUUUAAAUUCUGCUAAGAAUAGCACUUUAAAAAAUCCAUUCUAGGCCGGGCACGGUGGUUCACACCUGUAAUAAUCCCAGCACAUUGGGAGGCUGAGUCCGGCGGAUCACCCGAGGUGUUCAAGACCAGCCUGACCAACAUGGAGAAACCACUUCUCUACUAAAAAUACAAAAUUAGCCAGGUAUCAUGGUGCACGCCUGUAAUCCCAGCUAUUUGGGAGGCUGAGGCAGGAGAACUGCUUGAAUCCGGGAGGGAGGCGGAG